UUGGAGGGCAAGUCUGGUGCCAGCAGCCGCGGUAAUUCCAGCUCCAAUAGCGUAUAUUAAAGUUGUUGCAGUUAAAAAGCUCGUAGUUGAAUUUCGGGACCAAUUUGUUGGUCGUGCCUCGGUACGUACUGGUAUUAUUGGUUCCUCCCUUCUGAAGAACCUUGAUGUCAUUAAUUUGGUGUCUUGGGGAAUCAGGACUGUUACUUUGGAAAAAUUAGAGUGUUUAAAGCAGGCAUACGCUUGAAUACAUUAGCAUGGAAUAAUGAAAUAGGACGUUUGAUUCUAUUUUGUUGGUUUCUAGGAUCGACGUAAUGAUUAAUAGGGAUAGUUGGGGGCAUUAGUAUUCAAUUGUCAGAGGUGAAAUUCUUGGAUUUAUUGAAGACUAACUACUGCGAAAGCAUUUGCCAAGGAUGUUUUCAUUAAUCAAGAACGAAAGUUAGGGGAUCGAAGACGAUCAGAUACCGUCGUAGUCUUAACCAUAAACUAUGCCGACUAGGGAUCGGAUGAUGUUAUUUUUAAUGACUCAUUCGGCGCCUUACGGGAAAC
This 546-nucleotide ribosomal RNA is filed under the name uncultured Glomus. RNAcentral describes it as "SSU rRNA". It matches the Rfam family "Eukaryotic small subunit ribosomal RNA", at positions 548 to 1098 of the family's 1831-position model. The record is from RNAcentral. Lineage: Eukaryota; Fungi; Glomeromycota; Glomeromycetes; Glomerales; Glomeraceae.